Non-coding RNA from Gongylonema pulchrum, 71 nucleotides. The record is from Rfam. NCBI's taxonomy places the organism in Eukaryota, Metazoa, Nematoda, Chromadorea, Rhabditida, Gongylonematidae.
GGGCCAGUGGUGUAGUGGUAACACGUUGCGUCCGGACGUGAAGAGGAACGGUUCGAUUCCUUCCCGGUCCA